GACGAACGCUGGCGGCGUGCUUAACACAUGCAAGUCGAACGGAAAGGCCCUGCUUUUGUGGGGUGCUCGAGUGGCGAACGUGUGAGUAACACGUGAGUAUCCUGCCCUGUACUUUGGGAUAACUUCAGGAAACUGGGGCUAAUACCUGAUAGGAGCGCCUGCUGCAUGGUGGGGGUUGGAAAGUUUCGGCGGGUGUGGAUGGACUCGCGGCUUAUCAGCUUGUUGGGGGGGUAGUGGCUUACCAAGGCUUUGACGGGUAGGCCGCCUGGGAGGGUGACCGGCCACAUUGGGCCUGAGGGACGGCCCAGACUGCUAUGGGGGGCAACAGGGGGGAAUAUUGCCCAACGGGGGGGAGUCUGUUGAGGAGAUCCCCGGUGCGGGAAGCCCGGCUUCGGGGGGGAAACCGCUUUCAGCUGUGACCUAGCGGUUGUGACGUUAAUAGGUGAAGAAGCACCGGCUAACUUCGUG
Molecule: ribosomal RNA, 468 nt
Filed under: uncultured bacterium
Lineage: Bacteria
Description: partial 16S ribosomal RNA
Rfam family: Bacterial small subunit ribosomal RNA
Source: RNAcentral